Molecule: long non-coding RNA, 3248 nt
Organism: Penaeus chinensis
Lineage: Eukaryota; Metazoa; Arthropoda; Malacostraca; Decapoda; Penaeidae
Exons: 3
Source: RefSeq, a predicted model, not a curated record
AAAGCGUUUUUGUAUCUUUACCACACUAUAACAAAAAUAUAAAAAAUAUGGUGAUAGAAUUUACUUUUUAUUUUAUAUAUUGGUUAUAUUAUUCAGAAACAAGCAAAUGUAAACAGCAAAUGCAAAAGAGGACAUCAAAUUAAGCAACACCCACAUUUCUUUCCUUGUUUUUUUCUGUCUCUCUAUGUGAUAAAAUAAUUAUAACUCUAUACAUAUGAUACUUUGACACCAGAGUGAUCUCCCAGUGAGCAUGAUUUGCUGUCAUACUGUGCUUCCUUUGUAUCAUUUGACAGUGUGGGAAAUGUGUAUCACCUGCAAAUAAUGCAGUUAUUUGUAUAUUUGUACAUCAUUAUAUUACAAACAGGAUGAAAGUCUUGCUUUAUAGUUAAUGUGUACAGAAUUUGGUUUACAGACCUCAAAACUCUUAGGGUUUUUAAGGUAUCAGUAGAAAUACAGGAAAUCAUUUGUUUAAACCCUCCUACAGCAUAGUAUAAACUUUGUAGAUAGGUAUGUUUUCAACAAAUACAAAUUUUAAGUAAACUUUUCUCUUAUCAAAACUGGUAAUGACAGGAAAAUGGUCUGGAGUGGUUUCAGUAAACUAUGAAUGACCAGACAAAAUCCAAGAUCAUGGUUAUAUUUUACAAUUUUACUUGGUAUGGUAACUGAAUCAGGCAGUGAACAACAAUGGCUGCUGAGAGUUAAAGGAUGUCAAAUAGUGUACAAGUACUUGCUUUCUGGUAACUUAGUUCCACCUAUUCAACAUAUAUAUAUUGCACCAGCCACCAUAACCCAUAAGUGUGUAAUAUCAACUAAAUGGUUAGAGGUAAUAGUGUAAGUAAAUAGCAAUACUAUUUGAACAGUUAAGGGAAAAUUCAUCUACUUGGUUAUACUAAAGAAUGUUCCUGGGUGUAUGAAGCACUAAACAGAUGGAUAUAUAUCAGUGUUCAUUACUUUUUUCUUUCCGAUUCAUUUACAAAUUUAUUGAUGCUAAAAGCACACAAGGAGAAACAAACAAGUUGUUAUGGAAAGAAAACUUUACUGAAUGCCUAUGUACAAUACUGUACAGUACAAACCAUAAGUUGGGCACUUUUGCAGUAAACUCAUCUACCAUUCUAUUUCAUUUUCACAAGAAAAUUCAUUCACAAUUAUACAAUAUGGAAACUUAAAACGACAAAAACGGAGGUGGAGGUGGUGGUGGUGGUGGUGGUGAUGAUGAUGAUGAUAAUAUUAUCCAAUAAUAAAAAAACUAUUUGGUAAUCACAUUGCUGACAAAAUUCAAAAUAAAAUUAAUAAUAAAAAGAAAUGAGCUCCAGUAAUCACACCCAAAAUCAGAAUAAAUUACAUUGGUGAAGUUCCCUUUCCAUAGUAAUCCAGUUGAUCCUUAAUCAUAAGACUGUAAUUCCCUAAUACAUUUUAACUGCUUAAAUUAUCCAUCAAAAGCCAAGCUCUGUGAGAAAUGCAGAGUAUAAAAGAAGCAAAAAAUACAGUUACAGGAUGAUACAAUAUGGUAAUUACCAUUAUGCUCAUGAAACAGAAAAAUAAGUAAAAACAGAACUUGUUCAUAAUAGUAAUGUUGAGAGAUUAAAUACAAUAACAAAGAAGAAUCACUACAGUCCCUAUCACAGAAUGUGUUAGAUAUGCUGCAUGGAACAGAGUUUGGAUUAGUGGUAGACCUUCAAGUGCACUAACCAUGUAUUUAUCUUCCGAUAAAGUAACUAUUUUCAGAUAUCUUAGUUCGAUUCAGUACUAGAUAAAGUGUACUUUAUGAAAUUCAUUCCUAAAGUCUGUUUCAGGCAGCAAUGAUCUGAACCUGUAGGGAAGCAAAUUCUUGAGAAAGAGGUGUUCCAAGCUAAACUUCAGCACAGAUCAUGUGAAGUUAUAUAUAUAUAUAUAUAUAUAUAUAUAUACCUUUAAGUAUAUAUUUAUUAUCAAAAUUCUCUCAGUUCACGUCUUCAGUAAUGUUGAAAUAAUGUGUUGGCAGUGAUCUUAGGAGUACAUGUCUUAAAAGAAAAAAUUUAUAGAAUAAAUUCCCAAAGUGAUAACAUUACAUAUUCAUUCAAGUUUCUAUACAGCAGUGAUUUUAAGCUAUACAAAGGCCUUUGACCACAAAAAGUCUGCCAAUUACAGCACAGAAAAAGGAUCAAGUGCCCAAGUGCUGCACACAAGAUGAAGGACUGAUGGUUAACUUGAUUUCUUGAAAUUAAGAAAAUCUUAUACAUGGCUCGCAAUCAAAAUCACAAAAAGACUGGAUACCAGUUUUUCUACAUAGGAAAAAAAUCCCUGUCAUGAUUCUGAGGGUUACCCAACAUAAUGUUUUGAAUCAAUCAUAUAUCAUGAUUCUUCCAGGCUCCUAUGGUAAAAUUGCUAGAGUAGCUAAAAAAUACUAUAUAAAAUGAAUUAUUACCUUCCUAUGCUUAAGGUAAACUUAAGAUAAAAUUGUUCUAAAAUGCUAUUAGUUUUCUUUUCAAUUUAUUACCUCCACUUUUACCAAGUAAACAACAAUUAUGCAUUAUAUUUGUGCCCAGUGAAAAGCUAUUUGGUGCAACACAGGUCAACAUGAAGAGCAAAACUACUGGUUGUAGAGUUUAAUACAAAGAUAAAAAUUUAUAGUGAAACAAUUAUGAAUGUAAUGGAUUUUAUUACCCAGCAAUCUUUAUAAGAAUCACUAUGUCUUUGGCUGGCUGGGGAAGCAUCCAGGGUUGUAGACAGGUAGAUAGGUAAUGGAUAAAGAUAAUGUAAGGGGAAAAGGAGUUAUGAAGGCAAGAUGCUAAAACUGACCAGACAAUACUAGGCCCAGGUUGCAGGUUACCAUCGCAAAUAUAUUUGGUUCUAAUUCCCUGUAUUACAAUUUUCAUCACCAUUGUAAUGCAGGUUUAUAGCUCUUCACAAGAACCAUCUUACAGACCAAAACUUUCACAAAUUCAGUUGUUUUUUUAUGAGUUCAACAAAGUAAAUAUUAAAGGAUUAUAACCAAGCCUAAAAGUAUGUAAUCUUAAAAUACCCCUACAAUCUACAGUUUGAAUACCACCUCAACACUUAUACUGUAUAUAGACAUGUCAUAAGUGCCUAAAUAUGAAGCAGCAUGCGAUGGCAUCAUGCAACAAUCAUCCAGGCCUGAACUCAAUACUCGUCGUCAUCAUCGUAAUUUCUUGCGAACCGCAUAAAUGAAGGAAGAAGGGGGUAGCCAACGGUGCAGUUUGGGACUUUAUGACCCAUGCGCUCCUCACGGUCUUACAUGGAAGGAGGGA